AAGCAUCGCAGCACUUA
RNAcentral lists this microRNA (17 nucleotides) under Corchorus capsularis. Its description in RNAcentral is "sRNA CCACVL1_02558". Lineage: Eukaryota; Viridiplantae; Streptophyta; Magnoliopsida; Malvales; Malvaceae. The record is from RNAcentral.